This 253-nucleotide ribosomal RNA is filed under the name uncultured bacterium. RNAcentral describes it as "partial 16S ribosomal RNA". It matches the Rfam family "Bacterial small subunit ribosomal RNA", at positions 524 to 776 of the family's 1533-position model. The record is from RNAcentral.
UACGGGGGGGGCAAGCGUUGUUCGGAAUUACUGGGCGUAAAGGGCUCGUAGGCGGCCAACUAAGUCAGACGUGAAAUCCCUCGGCUUAACCGGGGAACUGCAUCUGAUACUGGAUGGCUUGAGUUCGGGAGAGGGAUGCGGAAUUCCAGGUGUAGCGGUGAAAUUCGUAGAUAUUAGGAAGAACACCGGUGGCGAAGGCGGCCAUCUGGCUCGGUACUGACGCUCAGGCGCGAAAGCGUGGGGAGCAAACAGG